Molecule: long non-coding RNA, 1540 nt
Organism: Peromyscus californicus insignis
Lineage: Eukaryota; Metazoa; Chordata; Mammalia; Rodentia; Cricetidae
Exons: 2
Source: RefSeq, a predicted model, not a curated record
UGUUAGCAGGGACCUGGUAAAAGGCUGACCUCCUGAGAGAUCCACUUUACAUAAAAAUGAUGCUCUUCAACACAUGUAAAAACGCACUAUGCAAACAAUCGAGCCAUAAAAUAUUUAUGUGCUAAACCAUAAAUUAUUCAUCCAGCAGCGUAUGUGUUUGUGAGAUUGAAAAGUCAGAGUGUGGAUGGAGCAGGCAGAAAGUCAUGAACACAUUUUAAAUUAACUGGCAAGCCACAUCACGUUAAUACCUCAGCCUUGUUCAUUUAAUAGGUUUUAAAUAGAAAUCCCAGCUUUGCUAUCAUGAGCUAUAGAUGCUAAAAAACAUUUUCAGAUUUGUAUACUUUGUUCAUUUAUUAUGUUUGAAAUGGUCAGAAAUCUCAGCUUUUCUAUCAUGAGCUGUAGGUUUUAAAAAUAUUUUCAGAUUUUAUAACAUUUGAAAAAAUUGAACCAAACACCAACCAAAAAAAUCCCUUUGGCAAUGAAAAGAACCAUGCUUAGGGUGCUAAAACCAUAAAAUGAGACAAAGCCACACUCUGCAGUAAAGCUGACAGUGUUGCAUUCGGCACGGCCUCACAUGCUGGGCGGAGGGCAGGCCUGCAGGAGGGGCUCAUCAACGCCUGGGUGGGGCUGCCACGCACUCCCUCUUCUACAUCAUUUCUAGUUGCACAAUCAAAUAAAGAGAUUCGGAAGGACUAAUCCAAACUCAGCACCCGGGACUUUAAUUCUUUUCUACAGCUCACAACGGGGGCUACUGAGACGAGAAGGGAGCGGAGCACCGGGGUCACCCUGGGCUGAGUGGCACUUCAGAAGACAGCUGCUCACAGACGCCCGUCACACUCCAGUCAGUACAGUCAGGCACUUCGGACGUACAUGCAGCCAGGAAAUCCUGAUCGUUCAUGGCAUCUCUGCUCUGCCAAAGAGGAGGCUGCACUUUCACGGAGCGAACGGAAAGGACCACUCUGAUGAGGGGACCAGACACCAAUGAAAACAGAUGGUCCAGAUGAUCCAACAUUUCAGAACACUUCUGUUGCAGUUUCCUCUGAGUUCUGCACCCAGAAAGGCUUCAAGACUGCUGGCUGAGAUGAUCCAGAUGCUGAAGGAACCAGUAACACCAUGGCCAUGUGGCAACAUAUAGAUAAUAGACAAAGGUUAAUUUAAGAUGAAAGAGCUACCUAGCAAGAAGCCUGAGUCAUAGGCCAUAUAGUUUGGAAUUAAUAUAAGCCUCUGAGUGAUUAUUUUAUAACCGGCUGCAAGAGCUUGAGUGGGAGAGAUUCGUCCAACCGUGGAGCUAGUCAGGACCGAGAAACUUCUACUACAGACUUAAAUACAAAGCUUUUCACGUUAGUCAUGUUUUCAGGCUCUUUUUGGUACAUUCAACAGAAGGACGCAGUAUUAUACUAGCUCAAAUUCAGUAUUUGGGUGUUCAUACUUGCAGAUGAUCAAGAACACACCAUGCCUUGGAAAUAUUCUAUAACUCAUUUAGACUACUGUCAAUGUUUUUAUUAUUUUGUAGCAAAUUUAAACUUUUUUGGUAAAUGUG